CGGAGUGGCGGACGGGUGAGGAAUACAUCGGAAUCUACUCUGUCGUGGGGGAGUAACGUAGGGAAACUUACGCUAAUACCGCAUACGACCUACGGGUGAAAGCAGGGGAUCUUCGGACCUUGCGCGAUUGAAUGAGCCGAUGUCGGAUUAGCUAGUUGGCGGGGUAAAGGCCCACCAAGGCGACGAUCCGUAACUGGUCUGAGAGGAUGAUCAGUCACACUGGAACUGAGACACGGUCCAGACUCUACGGGAGGCAGCAGAC
Molecule: ribosomal RNA, 262 nt
Filed under: uncultured Stenotrophomonas sp.
Lineage: Bacteria; Pseudomonadati; Pseudomonadota; Gammaproteobacteria; Lysobacterales; Lysobacteraceae
Description: partial 16S ribosomal RNA
Rfam family: Bacterial small subunit ribosomal RNA
Source: RNAcentral